RNAcentral lists this ribosomal RNA (275 nucleotides) under uncultured bacterium. RNAcentral's name for it is "partial 16S ribosomal RNA". It matches the Rfam family "Bacterial small subunit ribosomal RNA", at positions 79 to 353 of the family's 1533-position model. The record is from RNAcentral.
CUAAGUUUGAUGGCGACCGGCGCACGGGUGAGUAACACGUAUCCAACCUGCCGAUGACUCGGGGAUAGCCUUUCGAAAGAAAGAUUAAUACCCGAUGGCAUAGUUCUUCCGCAUGGUGGAACUAUUAAAGAAUUUCGGUCAUCGAUGGGGAUGCGUUCCAUUAGGUGGUUGGCGGGGUAACGGCCCACCAAGCCUUCGAUGGAUAGGGGUUCUGAGAGGAAGGUCCCCCACAUUGGAACUGAGACACGGUCCAAACUCCUACGGGAGGCAGCAUG